CUUGAUAAGCCAUCAAUAUUUAGAUAGUGGAGAUUUGGGGUUUUAAUGAGGGUGGGAUUUCCUUCCGUGUUAAUCUUUAGAGCUGCUUGCUUUCCUUCGAUAUAAACACCAGCACCCAGGGGACGAACAUGACUUCCGCAGCAACCAACAACACAAAAAUGAAAAGGAAUAGCUAACUAUCUCCCGUGCCACAUAUGAGGAACUACACAUGGGCCCUAGGCUUUGUAGCUCUUGUAGCCAUAGCCACCACUUUGGUCUCAGGCCAUGCAACCAGGAGUUACAUAGGUAUGGUUUUCUUCGUUCUUUCAUGAUCUCUCACUCGUAUUUGGAUACACAAACAUUUAUUUUCCUGGUGGGAUAUAUUUUUUAUUGAGGUAUCUCUAUUGUGCUUUGUGCAUAGGUGCAACUGACAUGUGUGCAGCUGGAGCUGACGACCACUGUUCGCCACCAGAACGAGCUACUGGUAACAUUCUGUGCAAGGCUUGCUGCGCUGCCCAAGGUUAUGACAGGGAUAAGAGCAGUUGUUGUCCAGGCAGAAGUAGCUCCUGCUGCUGUGUAAAGGACUGAGAAGUGCCAUGAAAUGAGUUUAUAUAUUUGCUAGAAAUAUUGCCUGAAGGAGAAUGAAUAAAUAGUUUGGGUGAACUUUAUUUAGUUCAUACAAAACAAUCAAUUAACCAUUGAGAAUUGUUGAUUUAUUAUAUAAUUUUUCGUUGUGUCCCAAAUCAUUUGAUCA
Molecule: long non-coding RNA, 733 nt
Filed under: Triticum aestivum (bread wheat)
Lineage: Eukaryota; Viridiplantae; Streptophyta; Magnoliopsida; Poales; Poaceae
Description: long non-coding RNA (TAES_LNC018546)
Source: RNAcentral